UCUCAACUGGGAGUUCUGUUUGUUUCACCUAUUUUUUGUUUUUUUCUGUUUCCUCUCUCUUUACUGCUACGACUACUCAUCAACAAUACCACUCUACGUUCAUCAAUUCAAGGUGGAAACUUUCAAGUCUCCCCCCUCUUCUUACUUGUUUCUCUGUCUUUAGGGAUAUUUCAACANUCCAUUGAAAACUGCACAAGGAGAAAGAUGGAAUAUGACCAGUAAAAGGUAUUAUUCGGCUCCAUGCAUUACUUUUUUAUUACAUAUAAGUCAAAUGUGGUAAUAAAACAGUAAAAAAAACUAUCUUCUUUCCUCUUCUAUCUCAACUGGGAGUUCUGUUUGUUUCACCUAUUUUUGUUUUUUUCUGUUUCCUCUCUUUACUGCUACGACUACUCAUCAACAAUACCACUCUACGUUCAUCAAUUCAAGGUGGAAACUUUCAAGUCACCCCUCUCUUCUUACUUGUUUCUCUGUCUUUAGGGAUAUUUCAAUAAGAUUUGGAAUUCAGUUGAAUUUGAGUGAGAAUCGAUUCGAUUUUGCUGAUUGUCUGACCACUUCUUUAUCAAAUCCAGAAUAUAGUCAAUUCCAAACGAAGAAAGGCCCAUCAUCCCUUUCUUUCUUUUUCUGUUAUAUUUUUAGUUAUUUCUUGAUGGAAUUUUCUGGGUCCUCUAUAUAUACCAGGUACUGUAAUUUUGACUCUGUUUAUUUCUUUAGCUUAAAUUCGACAAGAUUGAUGGGUUAUUAGGGUUUCAGCUAGCAAAAAUUCAAGGGAUGUCAUUCUUUUUCCUUUUUCCUUUUUGAUAUUAAGUUUGGUUAAUUAGCUGAUGCAGAAGUUCUACACUUGAACAACUUUAAGCAAAAUUUGGUUUUCUCCAGCUUUCGCAAUGAAAGUGAAUUGCUUUGCUUUAAUUUAUUUAUUUUAACUAGCCCUUGAUUUUCUGUUUGGUAUUAUUAUCGCUAAUUGGGAAUGGAAGACGUACAAUUUUCAUAUAGAAGCAAGCAUGGGAGUGCGCAGUUUCACGUCUGUCUUGUGAUAUUGAUGUCACCUUUCCUUUUUUGUUCAGUCACUUAAUGUUCUUACCUUGACUGCAUUUGUAUCUAACUUUUGAAUUUUAUUUAUUUUUUUCCAUGCAGAAAGUACUUGAGAAUUUGACCAGCUAUAUAUCUUCUGAUUAUUAAAGGCACAGGUAAACAUAUUUAUCUCUAUUCAACAUUUUACACUCUGACCUCGUGAGUUGCCAACUGUUUUGUUGGUUGUCUUCAUUUAAUGAGUUUGGACUUUAUCACUUGGCUUGUGCUUGUUUUUCAAAUUUCCUUGUGAUGUUUGCCUUGUUCGUGUAUGCUUCCUUAAUGUUACUGUACAAGAUAUCGUAUCUGAAAGAGUAUUUGUGUAUAUGUGUACAUUGAGAGUACCCUUGCCCUUCUAUUUUCUUUAUUCUGGGUUUCUAUUUCGCAUGUCCAAUUUUUGAUUGUUUACUGAUUGGGCUUGCAAAUAAAGGAAAUUCAAGGAUAUGGGAUGCUUUGUAUCAACGCCGAAGGACACAGGUGGAAACAGAAAGAGACCAUCAAACAUUGGUGAGGUCUCUGUAUUUGUGCCAGGUUUAAGGAUUCCUAAGACCGUGGAUUUCUCCCAGGCAUUAGGCGAUCAUUUGUCUAAAAGUUUAGUGGAACGUCUUUCUGCACUUAGAACCAGAAUUGUAGUUAUGGCUGCACAAGAAGCUCCGACUAUUACAAGAACAAGACGGAGAACGGCUACUCAACAUGGUUAUUUGUAGAACCCUUACAUUUUUUGUUUUCUGAUAUUGCAUCUUGAUGUUUGACCAGAUAUUUCCUGCAGGUGGUUCAACUCUGGGAGAUCUUCUUCAGGCUCUCGAAGAUUAUUUGCCUGUUCUUUUGGGUUUGGUUAAAGAUGGUAAACAUGUUAGGCGUCAAUCUAGUUACCAGAUAUGCUGGGAAGAUAUUGUUCCUAAGCGUUAAUUCUUUUCAUUGUAUAGGGAGCCCAUUGCAACACAAAGUACAGUUUGUU
RNAcentral lists this long non-coding RNA (2023 nucleotides) under Olea europaea subsp. europaea. The record is from RNAcentral. Lineage: Eukaryota; Viridiplantae; Streptophyta; Magnoliopsida; Lamiales; Oleaceae.